AGUAUCCAUCUUUCUAGGAAGCACGGACACGGCUCAUCUCGUACUAGUGUUGUAUGUGUGUUCGACAUAAACACGUGUCGAACACGCCUGGAUAUAUAUAUAAAUAUAUAUAAAAGGAUUACAUACGGUCCUGACAUGAUCACAAUUCAUGUGUCUAAAAACGGAGACGGUCACAAUAGAUAGAGGCCCUAGAUUGAAAAACUACAGUUGAUGAGAAUGAAAGGGGAAGAAGAGUUUUAGAAUUUUUUUUCCCCUGUAAGAUUCUUUUUCCUGGAAGGAAAUGAAAGGUUUUUUAAGCCUGAAAGUUUUAAGGUUUUCGUUAAAAGAGAUGAAAGAUUUUUUUUUCUUAGAUAAAUUUGAAGCUUUUUUCAUUUAUUAUUGUGGACAGCCCAAAGUCCUAUCUAAGCUAUUUGUAAAUUAAUUUAAAAUACUGAGUUGGAUAUAAAGUUUUAAAUUUUGUUCGAAAAGAAUAAAAAUAAAAUAAAUAUUAAAAAGUAAAUAGCUUAUUUGAGAAAAAAUUUUUGUCUUCGCUGCACGUUACCAUUUUUAACAUUUCAAUUUCAUCCUUAUGUUUUUUUUUGCUUAUUUCCCAUUUUAAUAUUUUUAUAUAUAUUUUUAUUAUUGUAUUCGUGUCCUCAUUUUUAAAAAAUUAUUAUGUCAUUGUGUUCGUAAUGCGUCGUACGCUUAUUACGUGUUUAUUUCCGUGUCCAUUCUUCAUAGUUAUUUCUCCUUAAUCUUUGGCUUUUUUAACAAUCAAAUUCCAUUUUCUUUAAAUAUACUUGUAUUUAACAGCCUGACGCUGACAUGCAGAUAAUUGACCCAUCACCACUAAAGGAUGAGCACGAAUUUAGUCCUUAAACCACAACAUUAAUUAAGCUUUCGAAUUUCAAUGCAAAUAUAAUCCCAAUUCGGGGGCACAAAGAAAUUAAAAUUAUUUUCGGGUUUGAAUCAGACUCCUUAUUCUUCUCACAGAUGUCGAAAGGGCACAUUGGUCCCUUAUAUUGGUGAACAUGGCUGCGAUGAAAAUGGUGCCUUGUCAGUAAAGGCACCAAAACUCUCAUACUGUUUCCUGACAGAUGGCGAGGAGACCUAUCCACCGUCCAAUCCUGGCAACAUGCUAUCUUCAUGUGAUCAGC
This 1136-nucleotide long non-coding RNA is filed under the name Gossypium barbadense (sea-island cotton). RNAcentral's name for it is "long non-coding RNA (GBAR_LNC011098)". Lineage: Eukaryota; Viridiplantae; Streptophyta; Magnoliopsida; Malvales; Malvaceae. The record is from RNAcentral.